RNAcentral lists this transfer RNA (73 nucleotides) under Desmophyllum pertusum. RNAcentral describes it as "tRNA-Val". The record is from RNAcentral. Lineage: Eukaryota; Metazoa; Cnidaria; Anthozoa; Scleractinia; Caryophylliidae.
CGUUUCCUGGUGUAGUGGUUAUCACGUCCGCCUAACACGCGGAAGGUCGCAGGUUCGGGUCCUAAGGAAACAU